CAGCAGCCGCGGGAAUACGGAGGGUGCAAGCGUUAAACGGAAUUACUGGGCGUAAAGCGCACGCAGGCGGUCUGACAAGUCAGAUGUGAAAUCCCCGGGCUUAACCUGGGAACUGCAUUUGAAACUGUCAGGCUGGAGUCUUGUAGAGGGGGGUAGAAUUCCAGGUGUAGCGGUGAAAUGCGUAGAGAUCUGGAGGAAUACCGGUGGCGAAGGCGGCCCCCUGGACAAAGACUGACGCUCAGGUGCGAAAGCGUGGGGAGCAAACAGGAUUAGAUACCCGAGUAGUCCCUGUCUCUUAUAC
This 301-nucleotide ribosomal RNA is filed under the name uncultured bacterium. Its description in RNAcentral is "partial 16S ribosomal RNA". It matches the Rfam family "Bacterial small subunit ribosomal RNA", at positions 509 to 807 of the family's 1533-position model. The record is from RNAcentral.